Molecule: ribosomal RNA, 253 nt
Filed under: uncultured bacterium
Lineage: Bacteria
Description: partial 16S ribosomal RNA
Rfam family: Bacterial small subunit ribosomal RNA
Source: RNAcentral
UACGGAGGGAGCUAGCGUUGUUCGGAAUUACUGGGCGUAAAGCGCGCGUAGGCGGCUUUGUAAGUUAGAGGUGAAAGCCCGGGGCUCAACUCCGGAACUGCCUUUAAGACUGCAUCGCUUGAAUCCGGGAGAGGUGAGUGGAAUUCCGAGUGUAGAGGUGAAAUUCGUAGAUAUUCGGAAGAACACCAGUGGCGAAGGCGGCUCACUGGACCGGUAUUGACGCUGAGGCGCGAAAGCGUGGGGAGCGAACAGG